Molecule: ribosomal RNA, 308 nt
Filed under: uncultured bacterium
Lineage: Bacteria
Description: bacterial SSU rRNA
Rfam family: Bacterial small subunit ribosomal RNA
Source: RNAcentral
GAUGAACGCUAGCGGCAGGCCUAACACAUGCAAGUCGAGGGGUAACAGAGGAGCUUGCUUCUGCUGACGACCGGCGCACGGGUGAGUAACGCGUAUGCAACCUACCUUUACAGGGAGAUAGCCCGGAGAAAUCCGGAUUAAUAUCCCAUACGAUUGUUAAGACACAAGUCUCUACAAAGAAAGCUUCGGCGGUAUUAGAUGGGCAUGCGUCCUAUUAGUUAGUUGGUAAGGUAACGGCUUACCAAGACUCCGAUAGGUAGGGGGCCUGAGAGGGUGACCCCCCACACUGGUACUGAGACACGGACCAG